Megalobrama amblycephala (Wuchang bream) is the source of this 4070-nucleotide long non-coding RNA. RefSeq lists it as uncharacterized. The record is from RefSeq and is a predicted model, not a curated record. The transcript has 5 exons. NCBI's taxonomy places the organism in Eukaryota, Metazoa, Chordata, Actinopteri, Cypriniformes, Xenocyprididae.
CCAAGACCUGGUCGACGAAGCUGUUCUAAAGGGGUGGCAUGCAAUCAGCUACCCCAUUGAAGUCGGCUGCAGCGGGUUCCCAGCAAAAUCGGUGCGCUAUUUUCUCCAGAGAGUGGGCCUGGAGUCUAAACAACUGAAGAAAGCCACCAGGGACAUUGCUGUAGCAGCCGAGUCCAGUUCAAGAUGGCUGUGGCUGAAGAGAGCCCACAGUUGGAACCCUUCUGCAGGUGAAGACUAGUCAGUCUUCGCUGCCCCACUCAGGCGAGGUGUUCAGGUUAAGGGGCGAAACACCGGAGACCCUGAGAUCCCCUGCUGAUGAUGCGGAAGGGUUCCAACAUUGUGGAUGCUCCAAGAAUACCACCUCAGAAGUAGAUCUGCAUCAUCAUAGUUCCUACUUUUGGCAAAGCAUCUCUGAUGUUUACUUCACCUUAAUUAUAAUAUUACAUUUCUAUAAAUUGCAAUAUUAACUACAAAUUAAUGUUAUGUCCACCCUGUCAUGUCUAUGUCCACCUUAUCAAGUCUUAAGUGGCUGACAGGGUGAACAUUUUGAGCUUCGAUUAGCAUAUUAGCUUACAACAAACUGUGACUAGCUAAAUAGCUAGUCUGGUUGUUGAAGAGAAUUUGGUAUAUUUAAACUUACAUAUUUGAAAAUAUUGUAUUCUAAUCACUUCGGGCAUAUUUUAUGCCAACAGGGUGGACAUUGUUAAGCUUUGGCACAACAAGUAAGCAAACUCAAACGAAGAAAAUUUGUCAGUUGGAAAGUCACCAACUCACUUCAGCCGUUGAAAUUCCCAAAUUCCCGCCACUGAAGAGAUGUGUUGUCACGAAAGGGGAUGGCCUUUUCUUAAAGGGACAGAUUCCCCAAUAGGACAGGGUGGACAACCAUUCAAGGGACAUGAAAAAACUUUUUUUUUUUUUUUUUUUUAUUAAAUAAAAAUAUUGUUUUUAUUACCAAAUAAUCAGUACACUCAAACUGAGUAAUCUCUUAUUUAAAAAAAAUAUAUAUUAAUAGGAAAACUACAUUUUUAAAAUUUACAGUAUGAUUUGACUAUAUUUUACUCUUAUUCAAAUUUAAUGAGCAGUGCAUGGGACAUAGCAAAUAACACACAUCUUCUUAUACAAAAUCUAGAAAAUGUAUCUAAAGAGCCAAGUAAUGCUUUUGUUAUGAAUAUAGAAACUUAGCCUUAUAUAACACACCCUUUGAUAGUCAUUUUUAUGUUAAUUUAUCAUGGCAAAUGAGUUAUUUAUGUACAGGACACCAAAAGGCACCCUACAGUAAUAUUGACCCAUAUGCAUAUUUUACAGAGUUGGGCAUUUGGUUCAUUUUAAUGUGGUAAUGUUAAAUGCUUCUCCUGUUGAAAGUACACAUGGGGACUCCUGGAAAGAGUUAACCUCUGCAUCAUUACUCUGAAAACUAGUAGUCAGGUUUACAGAAAUCCACAGAAAGAUUAUUUGGCUUCUGGAUAAAGAAGAACCAUUCUUUGCAAAGCCUAGAGAGUUUGGUGGUUUUUAAUGGAAGUUCAAACAUCACCAAAGGAUUCAGUCAUAUAGAGAUACUUGGAAAUCUUAGUCAGCGUGAAUGUACCACUGUUUUCUAUGAUGUGAUGAACAGCCAUUCAGACAAGUACUACUUUAGGGUGGAAAUGCCAUCGGAUUGGAAAUACACAUAUAGUGAAAACCCCAUCAACAUGUUCUGUUAUGCCAUCAAAAUUAUACUGUGAUUGAUUCAUAAUUUAAUUCAAAUUUAUUUGUAUAGUGCUUUUAUAGCAUCAAUGCAGCUUCACAGAAAAUGCAUGUCUACAUUACAAUUUAGAGUGAUCUGUUAUCGGAGGUGACUGUGUCCAAGUAAUGUAUUUCAGAAAUGUACAAAUACAAAUCACACAGUUAGCUGACAUUAUGUAUUAAUUUUAGGCAGAAAAAAUAGCUCAUUAUUGAGUAAUUAAUUGUAUUAAUUAAUUAAUUAUUACAAGUUGUGAACAUGAUUACAGUAUAUAGAAUAUUUAGGUAACACUGUGUCAUUGUUACAUGUACUUACUUUAGUAAUAACUAUAAGUUAUGCAUAAUUACAUGCAACUAACCCUAAACCAAACCCUAAUUCUAACCCUAUAGUAAGUACAUAACUUUAUAUUACUCAGCAAUUAAAUAUAAUUACUGUAACCAAAAUUUAGCAUUGGUGCUUAAUCAUGGAGUCAUUUCAGGGGUUCCCCAAUUAUUGGUAAUUUGUGUUGCAUAUCUCAAUGAAAUAUAUGAUCAUUCCUUAAAUUAAUUAAAUGCCUUUAGUUGCAAGAUGAUUCAGUCAGUAGUUUUUGUUUGUGUUUGGGAUUGUUCUCUUGUCUCUUGGCCUAAAAGUCCCCACAACAAAAUACCUGUGACAAAAAGAACUGUUAAAUUACCAAAGGAGGAACAUUUAGUAAUAGUAAUACUUCUCGUGAAAUUAAUAGUUUUCCAUAAUUGAGAGGAAGUAUUUUGUUGUGGAAGCAAAAUGGGCCCACAGACUACUGGAGUUACACAUGAGUUUUGUUUGUGAAAUGUACCUGUAUUGACAUUGUAGUUCCAAGUACUAAAUUAAAAUAAUACAAUUAAGUGAUUGUAUUAAGAAAAGAAAGUACUUUUAUACAAAAGUUCAAUAAACUAGAAGUUAAAAUUGAGUAACUUGGACACAGUAUUUACCUUUUACUAACAGUCUAUUUUCACUCCAGAAAAUAAUUCCAAAUUGAGUCAUUGAAGAAUCAACCAUUGUGUUUCUAUAAGGAUCAAACAGUGUUUUGUUCCUAAAUAAAUCAGUGUAUUUAAAAGGUUGAGUCAACAGUUCAGUGACUCAUCAUACAGUUCAUCAUAAAAACAGCUACUUUUUUUUCGUUUCUGAAUGUCGUCGACAAUAGAGACUGUUCCAAAGCAGCUUCACAGUCUUAAACAGGAAAGUAAUGCAAUCAAUGAUGCAAACUUAAAAAAAUACAAAUUCUGCUGUAAAGCAUCUGUAGAAAAAAAAAAUUUCAUCUUGUAUCAAUAAUCAAUAGUGUAUUUUUUUUUUUUUUUUUUUUUUUUUUGGUGCCCUGUAGAUGUACCUCAGCCUCUUAUCCUUUAACCCACUGAUCUGAAGGAAGUGAUGGAGAACACAACAGUCAAUCUGAGCUGCUCUGCUGAAGCCCCCUGCCCCAAACAACCUCCUACAAUAUCCUGGUCCAACAUCCCUGAAUCUGCCAACAUUACAACACAGUUACAGGAGAAACCUGAUAAAACCCAGUCAGUGUUUUCACACAUGACCUUCAAAGCUUCAUACAUGGAUCAUAGAAAGAACAUCUCCUGCACUGCUACAUAUCCAAGAAAUACAUCUAAUGACUCAACUGUGGAGACCACCGUGAUGCUACGAGUCCUGUUUCCUCCAAAUGAAACUCGCAUCACCAUCGAUCCAUCUGCUUCAGUCUCUGUUGGCACUAAUGUGACUUUGACCUGCAAAAGCAAAGCCAAUCCAUCAAAUGACAUGAACUACACCUGAUACAAACGUGGACCAGAGAACCAGCUGGAUUUCGGAGAACAACUGACCUUUACUGUAAAUAGGAGGAGUGGAGGCUGGUACUUCUGCACAGCAAAGAAUGAACAUGGUUUUCAAAUAUCAGAAGAGAUCCAGCUGAUUGUGUCAGACUCUGCUCCAUUAGAAUCACUGUCUUUGAUCAUUGGCUGUGUAGUAGGAGUUUCAGCAUUUCUGUUGAUAUUUCUUCUGAUAACACUUUUCCUCAGAUUGCAAAGAUUAAAGGCAUCCACUAUUAAGAAAACUGACAUCUCAGAUCAGGAAAAACAAGUGCAGAUAAGCUCCAUUUAUACUAAUGGUGCUUUUGUGUCGGGUGAAGAGCUGGAGAUGCCAAAGGAUGAAAAUGACGUAGUCCACUAUGGAGAGAUUGACUUCUCCACUCCACAAACCAAAAGCACCAUAGUGAAGAGCUCAGGACAAGAGACAAUAUAUGCUGAGGUCAGAGGCCCAGAGAAGGAGAUGAACCAGGAUUAGUUUACAUUAGAAUAAAUGGCUUGAGUGAACUGUGUAAAUGUAGUAUGCUUUAUUGGCUUGUCUUGUC